UACGGAGGGUGCAAGCGUUAAUCGGAAUUACUGGGCGUAAAGCGCACGUAGGUGGUUUGUUAAGCUAGAUGUGAAAGCCCCGGGCUCAACCUGGGAAUUGCAUUUAGAACUGGCAAGCUAGAGUAGGGUAGAGGGGUGUGGAAUUCCAGGUGUAGCGGUGAAAUGCGUAGAUAUCGGGAGGAACAUCAGUGGCGAAGGCGACCGCCUGGCCCAACACUGACGCUGAGGUGCGAAAGCGUGGGUAGCAAACGGG
This 253-nucleotide ribosomal RNA is filed under the name uncultured bacterium. RNAcentral's name for it is "partial 16S ribosomal RNA". It matches the Rfam family "Bacterial small subunit ribosomal RNA", at positions 524 to 776 of the family's 1533-position model. The record is from RNAcentral.